CGGGGGAGGCCGGAUCCUGGGCUGUGUCCCGGCGCCCUGUGCUCCGGGGCCUGCGCUGUUGGAUUCACGCUCCCGCCCCGCAGCCCCCU
Non-coding RNA from Canis lupus familiaris (dog), 89 nucleotides. NCBI's taxonomy places the organism in Eukaryota, Metazoa, Chordata, Mammalia, Carnivora, Canidae. The record is from Rfam.